GACGAACGCUGGCGGCGUGCCUAAUACAUGCAAGUCGAGCGAAGUUUUUCUGGUGCUUACACUAGAAACACUUAGCGGCGAACGGGUGAGUAACACGUAAAGAACCUGCCUCAUAGACUGGGACAACUAUUGGAAACGAUAGCUAAUACCGGAUAACAGUAUUUCUCGCAUGUGAGUUAUUUAAAAGUUGGUUAUGCUAACACUAUGAGAUGUCUUUGCGGUGCAUUAGCUAGUUGGUGGGGUAAAGGCCCACCAAGGCGACGAUGCAUAGCCGACCUGAGAGGGUGAUCGGCCACACUGGGACUGAGACACGGCCCAGACUCCUACGGGAGGCAGCAGUAGGGAAUCUUCCGCAAUGGGCGAAAGCCUGACGGAGCAACGCCGCGUGAGUGAAGAAGGAUUUCGGUUCGUAAAGCUCUGUUGUUAGGGAAGAAUGGAUAUGUAGUAACUAUACAUGUAAGAGACGGUACCUAACCAGAAAGCCACGGCUAACUACGUG
Molecule: ribosomal RNA, 499 nt
Filed under: uncultured bacterium
Lineage: Bacteria
Description: partial 16S ribosomal RNA
Rfam family: Bacterial small subunit ribosomal RNA
Source: RNAcentral